This 2607-nucleotide ribosomal RNA is filed under the name Triticum aestivum (bread wheat). RNAcentral's name for it is "partial small subunit ribosomal RNA". The record is from RNAcentral. Lineage: Eukaryota; Viridiplantae; Streptophyta; Magnoliopsida; Poales; Poaceae.
UGCUCUGGAGCAGUGGCAGUGCUCGCUGCUUGGUUGGUCAAGAGGGGAAGAGACGGCUACUUUUUGGGAUCGGCGGCGACUCCGGCACUGCCGGCGGCGGGGCACCUCGCUGGACUGGCCGCUGCUGGUGAGGGGGCUAAGCGCCGAGACUGGCCACUUCUGGCGGCAGAGUGCGGCGGUUGGUGGCGCGUAGCGCGGCGAUUGGACUGAGGGGGACGCAGCGAGGUGACGGGUGCUGCGACGGUAGGCGGCCGGGACUACCGGACACGGCGGAUGUCAUAGUCCCCGGUAGAGUUCGAACGGCGCCCCGUACCGGACCGGUCAUUAGUGGACGCGCCGCCGACCUUCGGAAGCCGCAGAACGGGACAAAGAGCCCGUACCUCAUCGUUACAGAGGUCAUUACGUCACGUCGUGCAGCGGGCGGUAAGAGUAAACUGACAGGCCUUAAGUCUUUCUACCGCGAGCUAGGGCUUUCGAAGCGGCCUCCUGCCCUAGCGGCAACGACUUCCCCACUACUGACAUGAGCAGUAACCGCCACCUCCUUCCCUCGUACGCGAAACAAUACGAAACUGGGCAAGCGGAAGAACGGUCUGUCAAAAUACACGGGGACCAUUACGACCGUAACGAGUUAGGUCUCUGCGCCAAACAUAUAGCCUGAACCUGUAAAGAUCGUCACUACGACAAUAUAGCAAGACGGCGUUCUCCCCUCACCCUUACCACCAUCACCCAGGACUUCCAGGAGAACAACGCCCAGAACGCUUACUGGAACAGUUUCGACCCUAUGGCUGGAAACCAGGCAGCAGGCUCCGACGUCGUAAUCUUCCUAGUUUCCUGAAAUACUUCUCCAACACACUAUUCAUAUUAUAGGGGUGACGAGUCAUAGCGUGUAAGUGCCUAGGACGUUUUCGAUUUCUCAUGUAGUUCCUAGUUCCCCGGGGAUAACAACAGUUUCGACUACCUAACCGUCGACCUUUUCCGCAGCAACAACGAUACCGAAACCUACUCCGGAAGCUUCGUUAUCUGAGAUACUACCAACUGCUCAGUAAACCAAGACGACCAAGCGCCCAGCAGUAACUCCUCAUAGACCUCCCGCUUCUUCGGAGAAAGAAACGUAAUCAUCUACCACUUUUACGAAACGGUGAACUUAGUCGUGUCCUAGUGUUUUCUCAACCACUACCACUAUGACCGGGUUUGUGCCCACCAUACCCACGUAUGAGGGGACGCGGUUAUCACUGGCUUCUCGAAUUCUCGCACUAGUACCUUUGAUAUUAAUGAGGUUGACAAUUUCCAUACCGACGACUUCCUACGUUCAAACAACCACAUAAUAUACGGCCCGAAUACUAACUCUUCUUUAGACCAGACGGAUUUGAAUAACUUAUAUUACACGCUAAACCCCUAGGACUUACGGUCCAAGACUACUACUCUAACCUCAGACUAGAACGUGUCCAGGACGAUAGACGUACGUCUCCUCUUGACCCAUUCCAAAGCGAUUGGACCAGUGGACUUUAGCGCUACCACCAACACUACCGCUCGCUUCCUAUGGGAUCGAGAAUAUUCUUCCCGUGGCAUUAUUUUUUGUAGCUGUUCCGGCUCGUCCAAAGAGGACGACAGUUCUAUAAGGUACGACCCUGUCGAAACCGACCUCUGCCGUUGGAACAUCGACAGCCUCCGGCCCAAGAACCGCAGUGACGCUUCCCGUUCCUGUAGCUCCUUCGCUCCAGCUCUCACAUGCUACGCCAUCUACAGCAGCUGACCGGCCUUCCUAAGAAGUCCGCUCUAUAGCCGACCUCCCGUGACUUCGUCCUCGUCUGCCGAUUGAUGACUAAUCAACCCAAAAGGAUUUAGACCCCACUCGAAGGUCGCAGGUCACUUUACUUCUGUCAUCUCGGUGGUAACAAGACCAACGCCUUAACUGUCCUCGUAUCGCAGAGGACAGCUUGUACUCGUAGAAAACUGGUACCAAACCGAGGCUUGGUAAACAUCGUCAGAACACAAAAGGAGUUCCGACCGUUGCACAGUUCACGUUAAUAGAGAACUCCACGUUAUUAUGGUAGUUGACUAAUAAAAGAUCACUUGUAUUGGUGCACUCGAGAAGUAUUCGUAAACGAAUAUCCUGGAUGAGGAAGGUAAGGAUUUAUAUUUAGAAAAAUCUAUAAAGUUAUACUUGAUGUAUGCCUACAUCAUCUUUAAUACACCACUCGAGUACUGUGUAAUCUCCUCCCUGUUAUGUACUUAAGUUAUCAGACAACUCCUUGUCGGGUACGACGGUAUCGGAGGAGAAAACGAUAAGCCCCAAGUAGCGGUAGUGAUUGACUAUACUCGUCUUGUAAGAAGAGAAGGCCCCAAGUAGCGGUAGGUAACAGUAGAGAAACGAUGAGGGAGGCAAGGAUUUAUAAACAGAAAGAUCUGUAAAGUUUCCUGAUGAUGUAUGCCUACAUACAUCUGUAUAAAAUCUCACGUCUAAGUAAAUGAAACGAGGCAUACAUCAGUGAACAACUUUACGGAUCUUUCUGUUCAUAAAUCCUUGCCUCCCUCAUGAUAAACAUACAUACCUAGAGAAACGAUGAAAAAACAUAGCUAGAGAAACGAUGAAGUUCAACGACAAAC